GGAGGGGUGGGUGAGUGGCUGAAACCAACGGUUUGCUAAACCGUCCAUGGGGGUAAACCCCAUGCGCGGGUUCGAAUCCCGCCCCCUCCGCCA
RNAcentral lists this transfer RNA (93 nucleotides) under Magnetospirillum sp. Its description in RNAcentral is "tRNA-Ser". It matches the Rfam family "tRNA". Rfam says of the family: Transfer RNA (tRNA) molecules are approximately 80 nucleotides in length. Their secondary structure includes four short double-helical elements and three loops (D, anti-codon, and T loops). Further hydrogen bonds mediate the characteristic L-shaped molecular structure. tRNAs have two regions of fundamental functional importance: the anti-codon, which is responsible for specific mRNA codon recognition, and the 3' end, to which the tRNAs corresponding amino acid is attached (by aminoacyl-tRNA synthetases). tRNAs cope with the degeneracy of the genetic code in two manners: having more than one tRNA (with a specific anti-codon) for a particular amino acid; and 'wobble' base-pairing, i.e. permitting non-standard base-pairing at the 3rd anti-codon position. Lineage: Bacteria; Pseudomonadati; Pseudomonadota; Alphaproteobacteria; Rhodospirillales; Rhodospirillaceae. The record is from RNAcentral.